GCCUAACUGGCUCAGUCAGUAGAGCAUGAGACUCUUGAUCUUGGGGUCCUGAGUUUGAGGCCCACGUUGGGCA
This 73-nucleotide transfer RNA is filed under the name Mustela putorius furo (domestic ferret). It matches the Rfam family "tRNA". From Rfam's summary of the family: Transfer RNA (tRNA) molecules are approximately 80 nucleotides in length. Their secondary structure includes four short double-helical elements and three loops (D, anti-codon, and T loops). Lineage: Eukaryota; Metazoa; Chordata; Mammalia; Carnivora; Mustelidae. RNAcentral also lists the same sequence under 1 other name. The record is from Rfam by way of RNAcentral.